Molecule: small nuclear RNA, 86 nt
Filed under: Meriones unguiculatus (Mongolian gerbil)
Lineage: Eukaryota; Metazoa; Chordata; Mammalia; Rodentia; Muridae
Description: U5 spliceosomal RNA (ENSMUGG00000010426.1)
Rfam family: U5 spliceosomal RNA
About the family: U5 RNA is a component of both types of known spliceosome.
Source: RNAcentral
UACUUCAGUUUCUCUUCAGGUCAUAGUAAUCUUUUACCUUUUACUAAAGAUUUCCAUGGAGAAGAACAAUUCUGAAUCUGAAACUG